This is a non-coding RNA of Cryptotermes secundus, 74 nucleotides long. NCBI's taxonomy places the organism in Eukaryota, Metazoa, Arthropoda, Insecta, Blattodea, Kalotermitidae. The record is from the annotation of a RefSeq genome assembly.
GGCCCGUUAGCUCAGGUGAUUAAAGCGUCGUGCUGAUAACGAGAGGGUCGUGGGUUCGAUCCCCACACUGGCCA